Lactuca sativa (garden lettuce) is the source of this 2386-nucleotide non-coding RNA. Lineage: Eukaryota; Viridiplantae; Streptophyta; Magnoliopsida; Asterales; Asteraceae. The record is from RefSeq and is a predicted model, not a curated record.
AAAAAAAAAAAAAAAAGAAAAAACAUAAUAACGUGACUCCAAUACCAGUCGACGUUCCGAUACCCAAUCCCCAAAAUCGACAUCUUCAAUCGAUCGCGUCUAUCAUCUCGUCUUCGAUUUCGGCCGUAGUCGACGCCGGUGGCUCCAAUUCCGGCAAUCCGCCUCCAUCACAGAAGAUUCCGACGAGUACUCCACUGCAGAAAACACGACGGCCACCCAAUUUCUUGGCUGAUUGACCUGAUUUCUUGGUUGAUUUCUUCGUUUCUGGCCAUAGACGACCUCGGUUGUAGCUUGAUUUCUUAUAAGUCUGACUCCUCUUUUGAUUUUCAAUUUCAACUAGUUAACUUUGGAUUGAUUCCUAUUAUUAUUGCUACUACAUUCAACUAUUAUUUGUUUAUUUGCAAACUAUUAUUCCACUUGAUUCCUAUUUUGAUUUACAAUUGUAAUUUGCUUAUUUGCAAUUGUUAUUCUACAUUUAAUUUCUACUUUGAUUUACGGUUGUUAUUUGCUUCAACAUUCAUAUUUUGGAGCAAUCUUAUGAUUGAAAAUAUGUUUUGUUCUCAUUUAUUAGAUGGAGGUUGUUACAAUACUUUGUUAUUGGGUUGGGACAACCUCUAAUGGACAAGAUGGUAUAAAUUAUAGCAAAGCUCCAAGAAGAGCAAUCAAUGUUAACCGUAGAAUACAAUUUGAUGAAUUGGUCGACCGUAUAUAUCUUGCUACAUCUUUUGAUAAACAACACCACCGCAUCAACUUAAUCUGUAGAUAUCCAUCGGUUGGUAUUGGAAAUGUUGUAAAAUACAUUCCUCUUCCCAUCAAAGAUAAUGAUGAUGUUGGCAUCAUGUUUGAUGUGCUUCGUGUCUAUCAAGAAGUAAGUAACAUUGAUCUAUUUAGAGGUUGAAGACAUUGACCAAAUUCAACACAUAGAGAUGGAAUCUAGAAAUCAUGAACAAGUUGUGCUAGAAGAGCAAAGGAACAAUGAAUUACUAUUACCUAACACGAACCAUGCUAAUGUCAUAUCAGAUAUGAUCAGUGGCGGACCUUAGUGGUGCCUCAGGGGUCCCGGGCCACUGCUCGACGCCGGCACGUAGUUGUCACCCCUACGAAAAUGUUCUGCGUCCGCUACUGGAUAUGAUUCAGAAUGAAGAUUUCUACACAAUUUCUCAAGCUGCUGUUGUGAGUAAUGGAAUAAUUAGUGACAAUGAAAUUGAUGAAGAAGAUGACAUUGGAGAAGAAUAUGAUGAAGAAAAUGAAUCAUAUGCUAGUAGAAAAUGAAUCAUAUGCUAGUUGGAAUUGGUUUCUUUCUUAUAUCAAGAGUCAUGUGGUGAAAGAGCGUGAAGACAUUUGUUUAAUAUCUGAUCGUCAUUUGGGAAUCCUAAAGGUAGUCAAUGAGCAUGGAUCUCCAUGGUUAGAGCCACGUGGUUUUCAUAGGUAUUGUUUACGACAUUUUAUCAACAACUUUAAUGACAAGUUUCGUAAUUCAGAAUUGAAAGCUUUAGCUUAUCGUGUCGGGAGUCAGAAUCAAGUUCGAAAAUUCAACUCGAUCAUGGAAGAAAUUGGGAAGCUAAAUCAACAAGCUCGACAGUGGCUAGAGAGGCAUCCACUUGAUAGAUUGACACUUGCACAUGAUGGUGGGAGGAGAUAUGGGCUUCUCACAACAAAUUUGUCAGAGUUUUUUAAUAGUGUACUUAAAGGUGCUCGUUUUUUUACCAAUCAUAGCUUGUGUCCAACUUACUUUCUAUAGAUUGGUACAUUAUUUUGAAGUGAGGCAUCCUUUAGGAUCUAGUGCCCAAGCUAAAGGAGAUGCAUAUACUCUUCAAGUUGUUGUAAAACAAGUGGUUUUGAUGUCAAAAGCAAGUGCACACUCAUUGAGAUCUUUUAAUCGAGAGAAAGAUAUAUUUGAGUUGAUAACUCAAAGAGGAAAAAAUAUGCAAGUAGUUAAUUUAGACAAAAAAAAACUUACACAUGUGAAUAUUGUUCUACUUGGGCAUCCGAGUUUUCCCCACUUCCUCAUGAAGCGUAUUGGCCACAAUCUUCAUCUAGACAAUUGCUUCCAAAUUUAGAGCUUUUACGGAAUAAAAAAGGUCGUCCUCGCUCAACAAGACUACGAAAUGGAAUGGACAUUAAAGAAGGAAAAAAUGGGUACCUUUGUGGGAUUUGUAGGCAAAGUGGUCAUAAUCGGAAAAAAUGUCCCUCUAAGCCAAGGUGAAUGCAGAGACAUUAAAGCUAAUCGUUUCAAUCGAUAAAAAUAUUUAUUUUUUCAUUCCGUUUUUGUAAGAAGUCGUUAUUGGAUUUGUACCAAAAAAUAUACCGUACGUUUGAUGUUGGCUUUAAUCUACUAUGUCUAACAUUAUUGUUUAUCAAUUAAUCUUAUUUACAAUUAAGGACA